RNAcentral lists this transfer RNA (48 nucleotides) under Trachemys grayi emolli (Nicaraguan slider). RNAcentral's name for it is "partial tRNA-Leu". Lineage: Eukaryota; Metazoa; Chordata; Testudines; Emydidae. The record is from RNAcentral.
CUUUUAAAGGAUAGAAGUAAUCCACUGGUUUUAGAACCCACCCACCCU